RNAcentral lists this ribosomal RNA (253 nucleotides) under uncultured bacterium. Its description in RNAcentral is "partial 16S ribosomal RNA". It matches the Rfam family "Bacterial small subunit ribosomal RNA", at positions 524 to 776 of the family's 1533-position model. The record is from RNAcentral.
GACAGAGGUGCCGAGCGUUAGGCGGAAUCACUGGGCUUAAAGCGCGUGUAGGCGGGUCGUUAAGUGCCUUGUGAAAUCCCCCGGCUCAACCGGGGAACGGCUGGGCAUACUGGCGACCUUGGGCCACCCAGGGGUCACCGGAACAGGCGGUGGAGCGGUGAAAUGCGUAGAUAUCUGGAGGAACACCGGUGGCGAAGGCGGCGUCCUGGACCAACACUGACACUGAUGAGCGAAAGCCAGGGGAGCAAACGGG